RNAcentral lists this ribosomal RNA (495 nucleotides) under uncultured bacterium. RNAcentral describes it as "partial 16S ribosomal RNA". It matches the Rfam family "Bacterial small subunit ribosomal RNA", at positions 28 to 507 of the family's 1533-position model. The record is from RNAcentral.
GAUGAACGCUGGCGGCGUGCCUAAUACAUGCAAGUAGAACGCUGAAGGAGGAGCUUGCUCCUCUGGAUGAGUUGCGAACGGGGGAGUAACGCGUAGGUAACCUGCCUGGUAGCGGGGGAUAACUAUUGGAAACGAUAGCUAAUAUCGCAGGACAACAGUUAUUGCAUGAUAACCGUUUAAAAGGGGCAACUGCUCCACUACCAGAUGGAGCUGCUGUGUAUUAGCUAGUUGGUGGGGAAAAGGCUCACCAAGGAGACGAUACAUAGGCGACCUGAGAGGGGGGUCGGCCACACUGGGACUGGGACACGCCCCCGACUCCUCCGGGGGGCAGCAGUAGGGAAUCUUCGGCGAAGGGCGGGAGUCUGACCGAGCACCGCCGCGUGAGUGAAGAAAGUUUUCGGAUCGUGAAACUCUGUUGUAAGAGAAGAACGAGUAUGAGAGUGGAACGUUCACCCUGUGACGGUAUCUUACCAGAAAGGGACGGCUAACUACGUG